RNAcentral lists this microRNA precursor (83 nucleotides) under Bombyx mori (domestic silkworm). RNAcentral's name for it is "mir-2807 microRNA precursor family". It matches the Rfam family "mir-2807 microRNA precursor family". Lineage: Eukaryota; Metazoa; Arthropoda; Insecta; Lepidoptera; Bombycidae. The record is from Rfam by way of RNAcentral.
UUAGCUCAUAUUUGUAUGGAAUGGGAUCGUUUGCCUAUGUUUGCCGCUAGAGGUGCUGUUCCAACUGCAUACAAAAUUGGGCA